Molecule: ribosomal RNA, 440 nt
Filed under: uncultured bacterium
Lineage: Bacteria
Description: partial 16S ribosomal RNA
Rfam family: Bacterial small subunit ribosomal RNA
Source: RNAcentral
CCUACGGGAGGCAGCAGUGGGGAAUAUUGCACAAUGGGGGAAACCCUGAUGCAGCCACGCCGCGUGCGUGAAGAAGUAAUUCGUUAUGUAAAGCUCUAUCAGCAGGGAAGAAAAUGACGGUACCUGAGUAAGAAUCCCCGGCUAACUACGUGCCAGCAGCCGCGGUAAUACGUAGGGGGCCAGCGUUAUCCGGAUUUACUGGGUGUAAAGGGAGCGUAGACGGCAGUGCAAGUCUGGAGUGAAAGGCGGGGGCUCAACCCCCGGACUGCACUGGAAACUGUACGGCUGGAGUGCAGGAGAGGUAAGUGGAAUUCCUAGUGUAGCGGUGAAAUGCGUAGAUAUUAGGAGGAACACCAGUGGCGAAGGCGGCUUACUGGACUGUAACUGACGUUGAGGCUCGAAAGCGUGGGUAGCAAACAGGAUUAGAUACCCUUGUAGUC